This 460-nucleotide ribosomal RNA is filed under the name uncultured bacterium. Its description in RNAcentral is "partial 16S ribosomal RNA". It matches the Rfam family "Bacterial small subunit ribosomal RNA", at positions 338 to 795 of the family's 1533-position model. The record is from RNAcentral.
CCUACGGGUGGCAGCAGUGAGGAAUAUUGGUCAAUGGACGAGAGUCUGAACCAGCCAAGUAGCGUGAAGGAUGACUGCCCUAUGGGUUGUAAACUUCUUUUAUCAAGGAAUAAAACGAGGCACGUGUGCCUUUUUGCAUGUACUUUAUGAAUAAGGAUCGGCUAACUCCGUGCCAGCAGCCGCGGUAAUACGGAGGAUCCGAGCGUUAUCCGGAUUUAGUGGGUUUAAAGGGUGCGUAGGUGGAUUUGUAAGUCAGUUGUGAAAGUUUGCGGCUCAACCGUAAAAUUGCAGUUGAAACUGGCAGUCUUGAGUACAGUAGAGGUGGGCGGAAGUCGGGGUGUAGCGGUGAAAUGCUUAGAUAUCACGAAGAACGCCGAUUGCGAAGGCAGUUCACUGGACUGCAACUGACACUGAGGCUCGAAAGUGUGGGUAUCAAACAGGAUUAGAUACCCGAGUAGUC